This 344-nucleotide small RNA is filed under the name Pongo abelii (Sumatran orangutan). RNAcentral's name for it is "retained intron". Lineage: Eukaryota; Metazoa; Chordata; Mammalia; Primates; Hominidae. The record is from RNAcentral.
AUCCAAGAUUUAGUUGAAUUUUUAUUUGAAAUCUGACUUCCCAAGUCAGUCUAAAUUUAGCUAUAUCUCGUGGGGAGUGAUGGAGUUGUUGCUGUUCAUUGAAAGGGCAUAUGAUUAAAAACUUAAAAGACCCAUUCCUUUUAAGUAGGUCUGUUUAAAUAUUUUUGAAAACACUCCUUUUAUUAACUUUUUUCUUGGUUUUAGGAAAGAUAUGUGGCAAGCCUGAUGCCUUUGCAGAAAAGUAUUUCCCCAUGGAAGAGUCCACCUCAAUUAAGACAGUUUCUUCCAGAAGAAUUUAUGAAAACACUUGAGAAAACAGGACCUCAGCUAACCUCUAGAAUAAA